GCGAGGAUUGUGGUGGCCGGCUGCUGAAAGAAAUUGAAGUCAGAUUGUUGGCCGCGACCUUGCUGGGUCUCAUUUGCCAGCAUUUUGCCAGCAUUUGCUAUUUGAGGCCGAAGCUAAGCCAAAUUGCGGGGGUUCGAGUCCCCUCCCUCGCACCA
This 155-nucleotide transfer RNA is filed under the name Ralstonia solanacearum. RNAcentral's name for it is "tRNA-Ser". RNAcentral also lists the same sequence under 2 other names. Lineage: Bacteria; Pseudomonadati; Pseudomonadota; Betaproteobacteria; Burkholderiales; Burkholderiaceae. The record is from RNAcentral.